GAAAAGGGAUGCACUCACGACUGUGUAAGUUGCAACCAUCUAGCACUUUACUGGUAACUUAACCUUGAUGAUGUGUCUUCAUUCUGGUUAUGCUUGUAUCUUGUUGUGUGUUUUUUCCAAAAAUGGCUGUAGCUCUUUAAUUUCUUAAACUGCAUAGUUUCUGGUACAGAAAUUUACCAUUUUUUUUCUUAUAUUAACUCUAUUGAAUGCGCUUGAAAAACAGAUCUCCGAGUCUUGAAUGAGUAUC
Molecule: unclassified non-coding RNA, 247 nt
Filed under: Hevea brasiliensis (rubber tree)
Lineage: Eukaryota; Viridiplantae; Streptophyta; Magnoliopsida; Malpighiales; Euphorbiaceae
Source: RNAcentral